This 466-nucleotide ribosomal RNA is filed under the name uncultured bacterium. RNAcentral describes it as "partial 16S ribosomal RNA". It matches the Rfam family "Bacterial small subunit ribosomal RNA", at positions 28 to 507 of the family's 1533-position model. The record is from RNAcentral.
GAUGAACGCUGGCGGCGUGCUUAACACAUGCAAGUCGAACGAUGAAGCCCAGCUUGCUGGGUGGAUUAGUGGCGAACGGGUAAGUAACACGUGAGUAACCUGCCCUUGACUCUGGGAUAAGCCUGGGACACUGGGUCUAAUACUGGAUAUGACUUCUCAUCGCAUGGUGGGGGGUGGAAAGAUUUAUUGGUCUUGGAUGGACUCGCGGCCUAUCAGCUUGUUGGUGAGGUAAUGGCUCACCAAGGCGACGACGAGUAGCCGGCCUGAGAGGGUGACCGGCCACACUGGGACUGAGACACGGCCCAGACUCCUACGGGAGGCAGCAGUGGGGAAUAGUGCACAAUGGGCGCAAGCCUGAUGCAGCGACGCCGCGUGAGGGAUGACGGCCUUCGUGUUGUAGACCUCUUUCAGUAGGGAAGAAGCGGGAGUGACGGUACCUGCAGAAGAAGCGCCGGCUAACUACGUG